AGUGAACGCUGGCGGUAGGCCUAACACAUGCAAGUCGAACGGCAGCACAGUAAGAGCUUGCUCUUACGGGUGGCGAGUGGCGGACGGGUGAGGAAUACAUCGGAAUCUACUUUUUCGUGGGGGAUAACGUAGGGAAACUUACGCUAAUACCGCAUACGACCUACGGGUGAAAGCAGUGGAUCUUCGGACCUUGCGCGAUUGAAUGAGCCGAUGUCGGAUUAGCUAGUUGGCGGGGUAAAGGCCCACCAAGGCGACGAUCCGUAGCCGGUCUGAGAGGAUGAUCAGCCACACUGGAACUGAGACACGGUCCAGACUCCUACGGGAGGCAGCAGUUGGGAAUAUUGGACAAUGGGCGCAAGCCUGAUCCAGCCAUACCGCGUGGGUGAAGAAGGCCUUCGGGUUGUAAAGCCCUUUUGUUGGGAAAGAAAAGCAGCAGGUUAAUACCCCGCUGUUCUGACGGUACCCAAAGAAUAAGCACCGGCUAACUUCGUG
This 492-nucleotide ribosomal RNA is filed under the name uncultured bacterium. RNAcentral's name for it is "partial 16S ribosomal RNA". It matches the Rfam family "Bacterial small subunit ribosomal RNA", at positions 29 to 507 of the family's 1533-position model. The record is from RNAcentral.